This 297-nucleotide ribosomal RNA is filed under the name uncultured bacterium. RNAcentral describes it as "partial 16S ribosomal RNA". It matches the Rfam family "Bacterial small subunit ribosomal RNA", at positions 28 to 351 of the family's 1533-position model. The record is from RNAcentral.
GAUGAACGCUGGCGGCGUGCCUAAUACAUGCAAGUCGAACGGAGCCUUCGGGCUUAGUGGCGAACGGGUGAGUAACACGUUGGUACCUACCCCUAAGUGGGGAAUAACUGGCCGAAAGGUCGGCUAAUACCGCAUAAUCCCGCAAGGGUAAAGCAGUAAUGCGCUUAGGGAGGGGCCUGCGUCUGAUUAGCUAGUUGGUAGUGUAAUAGACUACCAAGGCGACGAUCAGUAGCUGGAUCGAGAGGUUGACCAGCCACACUGGGACUGAGAUACGGCCCAGACACCUACGGGAGGCUG